RNAcentral lists this ribosomal RNA (148 nucleotides) under Gambusia affinis (western mosquitofish). RNAcentral's name for it is "5.8S ribosomal RNA (ENSGAFG00000018246.1)". The stretch from base 1 to 111 matches the Rfam family "5.8S ribosomal RNA". Rfam says of the family: 5.8S ribosomal RNA (5.8S rRNA) is a component of the large subunit of the eukaryotic ribosome. It is transcribed by RNA polymerase I as part of the 45S precursor that also contains 18S and 28S rRNA. The record is from RNAcentral. Lineage: Eukaryota; Metazoa; Chordata; Actinopteri; Cyprinodontiformes; Poeciliidae.
AACUCAUAGCGGUGGAUCACUCGGCUCGUGCGUUGAUGAAGAACGCAGCUAGCUGCGAGAACUAAUGUGAUUUGCAGGACACAUUGAUCUGACCCGCACAUCUGAGAAACACUGGCACCAUUUUGUUCCUCUUACUGAUGGGGAAGCU